Molecule: ribosomal RNA, 810 nt
Filed under: uncultured bacterium
Lineage: Bacteria
Description: bacterial SSU rRNA
Rfam family: Bacterial small subunit ribosomal RNA
Source: RNAcentral
CAGUCGAGGGGCAGCAUCAUCAAAGCUUGCUUUGAUGGAUGGCGACCGGCGCACGGGUGAGUAACACGUAUCCAACCUGUCGACAACACUGGGAUAGCCUUUCGAAAGAAAGAUUAAUACCGGAUGGCAUAGUUUUCCCGCAUGGGAUAAUUAUUAAAGAAUUUCGGUUGUCGAUGGGGAUGCGUUCCAUUAGGCAGUUGGCGGGGUAACGGCCCACCAAACCGACGAUGGAUAGGGGUUCUGAGAGGAAGGUCCCCCACAUUGGAACUGAGACACGGUCCAAACUCCUACGGGAGGCAGCAGUGAGGAAUAUUGGUCAAUGGACGAGAGUCUGAACCAGCCAAGUAGCGUGAAGGAUGACUGCCCUAUGGGUUGUAAACUUCUUUUAUACGGGAAUAAAGUUAGCCACGUGUGGCUUUUUGUAUGUACCGUAUGAAUAAGGAUCGGCUAACUCCGUGCCAGCAGCCGCGGUAAUACGGAGGAUCCGAGCGUUAUCCGGAUUUAUUGGGUUUAAAGGGAGCGUAGGCGGGUUGUUAAGUCAGUUGUGAAAGUUUGCGGCUCAACCGUAAAAUUGCAGUUGAUACUGGCGACCUUGAGUGCAACAGAGGUAGGCGGAAUUCGUGGUGUAGCGGUGAAAUGCUUAGAUAUCACGAAGAACUCCGAUUGCGAAGGCAGCUUACUGGAUUGUAACUGACGCUGAUGCUCGAAAGUGUGGGUAUCAAACAGGAUUAGAUACCCUGGUAGUCCACACAGUAAACGAUGAAUACUCGCUGUUGGCGAUAUACAGUCAGCGGCCAAGCGAAAGCAUUA